This 813-nucleotide ribosomal RNA is filed under the name Pleurotheciella fusiformis. Its description in RNAcentral is "SSU rRNA". It matches the Rfam family "Eukaryotic small subunit ribosomal RNA", at positions 110 to 931 of the family's 1831-position model. Lineage: Eukaryota; Fungi; Ascomycota; Sordariomycetes; Pleurotheciales; Pleurotheciaceae. The record is from RNAcentral.
UUAUCGUUUAUUUGAUAUUGCCUAUCCUACAUGGAUAACAGUGGUAAUUCUAGAGCUAAUACAUGCUGAAAAUCCCGACUUCGGAAGGGACGUAUUUAUUAGAAUCAGAACCAAUGCCCUUCGGGGUUUUCUGGUGACUCAUGAUAACUCCACAGAUCGCAUGGCCUUGCGCCGGCGAUGGCUCAUUCAAAUUUCUUCCCUAUCAACUUUCGACGGUACGGUCUUGGCCUACCGUGGUUGUAACGGGUGACGGAGGGUUAGGGCUCGACCCCGGAGAAGGAGCCUGAGAAACGGCUACUACAUCCAAGGAAGGCAGCAGGCGCGCAAAUUAUCCAAUCCCGACUCGGGGAGAUAGUGACAAUAAAUACCGAUACAGGGCUCUUUUGGGCCCUGUAAUUGGAAUGAGUACAAUUUAAACCUCUUAACGAGGAACAAUUGGAGGGCAAGUCUGGUGCCAGCAGCCGCGGUAAUUCCAGCUCCAAUAGCGUAUAUUAAAGUUGUUGUGGUUAAAAAGCUCGUAGUCGAACCUCGAGCCUGGCCGGCCGGUCCGCCUCACCGCGUGCACUGGUCUGGCCGGGCUCUUCCCUCUGCGGAACCGCAUGUCCUUCACUGGGCGUGUCGGGGAGGCAGGACUUUUACUUUGAAAAAAUUAGAGUGCUCAAGGCAGGCCAAUGCUCGAAUACAUUAGCAUGGAAUAAUAGAAUAGGACGUUGGUUCUAUUUUGUUGGUUUCUAGGACCGCCGUAAUGAUCAAUAAGGGACGGUCGGGGGCAUCAGUAUUCAGCCGUCAGAGGUGAAAUUCUUGGACCGGCUG